Molecule: long non-coding RNA, 239 nt
Filed under: Lathyrus oleraceus (garden pea)
Lineage: Eukaryota; Viridiplantae; Streptophyta; Magnoliopsida; Fabales; Fabaceae
Description: Pisum sativum (pea) long non-coding RNA (PSAT_LNC040349)
Source: RNAcentral
ACACUACCAUUUUGGACAAAAAUUCAAAGUUGGCAAAUUGUACAAUUGGUCAUUAAGUAAAAGCAAGGUACAGCAUUUUCUGUGCAGACCACAAGCAGCAAUUGGAAUGUCCUUCUGCAGCCUUUCCAGCCCAAAAUCGUGCAGUCAAACACACCCUCCAUUUCACUUGUGCACAAUUAGCAAGAGUUGCAAAUUGAAUCAUUUAGCAUAAACCAACUUACCAUUUGAUUUAGUGAUGC